RNAcentral lists this ribosomal RNA (469 nucleotides) under uncultured bacterium. Its description in RNAcentral is "bacterial SSU rRNA". It matches the Rfam family "Bacterial small subunit ribosomal RNA", at positions 29 to 497 of the family's 1533-position model. The record is from RNAcentral.
AGCGAACGUUUGCGGCGGGCCUAACACAUGCAAGUCGAACGCACUAGCAAUAGUGAGUGGCGCACGGGUGCGUAACACGUGGGUAAUCAACCCUUCAGCCUGGGAUAACGACUCGAAAGGGUCGCUAAUACCGGAUACGGCGCGAGAGGCUUCGGCUUCUCACGAGAAAGCCACGCAAGGGGGCACUGAAGGACGAGCCUGCGGCCCAUCAGCUAGUUGGUGAGGUAAGAGCUCACCAAGGCUAAGACGGGUAGCUGGUCUGAGAGGAUGAUCAGCCACACUGGAACUGAGACACGGUCCAGACUCCUACGGGAGGCAGCAGUGGGGAAUAUUGCGCAAUGGGCGAAAGCCUGACGCAGCCACGCCGCGUGAGCGAUGAAGGCCUGGGUCGUAAGACUCUGUGGGAGGAGACGAAGAAAGACCUGUGAAGAGCAGGCCUUGACGGUAGUCUCCUUAGUCAAGCACCGGC